UGGAGGUGUCGCCUAGUCAGGUCUAUGGCGCCCGCCUGCUAAGCGGGUUUGGGAGGUAAUCCCAUCGCGGGUUCAAAUCCCGCCACCUCCGCGGA
Molecule: transfer RNA, 95 nt
Filed under: Cutibacterium acnes
Lineage: Bacteria; Bacillati; Actinomycetota; Actinomycetes; Propionibacteriales; Propionibacteriaceae
Also listed under: 1 other name
Description: tRNA-Ser
Rfam family: tRNA
About the family: Transfer RNA (tRNA) molecules are approximately 80 nucleotides in length. Their secondary structure includes four short double-helical elements and three loops (D, anti-codon, and T loops). Further hydrogen bonds mediate the characteristic L-shaped molecular structure. tRNAs have two regions of fundamental functional importance: the anti-codon, which is responsible for specific mRNA codon recognition, and the 3' end, to which the tRNAs corresponding amino acid is attached (by aminoacyl-tRNA synthetases). tRNAs cope with the degeneracy of the genetic code in two manners: having more than one tRNA (with a specific anti-codon) for a particular amino acid; and 'wobble' base-pairing, i.e. permitting non-standard base-pairing at the 3rd anti-codon position.
Source: RNAcentral